ACUAAAAUAGUUUAAAAAAAAAAUAUUAAUUUUGUAAAUUAAAGUUGGUUAUCCUUUUAGUA
This 62-nucleotide transfer RNA is filed under the name Metacrangonyx sp. 3 ssp. 1 MDMBR-2012. RNAcentral describes it as "transfer RNA Threonine". Lineage: Eukaryota; Metazoa; Arthropoda; Malacostraca; Amphipoda; Metacrangonyctidae. The record is from RNAcentral.